Molecule: non-coding RNA, 21 nt
Organism: Caenorhabditis elegans
Lineage: Eukaryota; Metazoa; Nematoda; Chromadorea; Rhabditida; Rhabditidae
Source: Ensembl
UGAUAAAUUGUGCGAAUUUUG